AGAGUUUGAUNUGGCUCAGAUUGAACGCUGGCGGCAUGCCUUACACAUGCAAGUCGAACGGCAGCACGGGGGCAACCCUGGUGGCGAGUGGCGAACGGGUGAGUAAUAUAUCGGAACGUACCAUUGAGUGGGGGAUAACGUAGCGAAAGUUACGCUAAUACCGCAUACGAUCUACGGAUGAAAGCGGGGGAUCCGCAAGGACCUCGCGCUCAUUGAGCGGCCGAUAUCUGAUUAGCUAGUUGGUAGGGUAAAAGCCUACCAAGGCAUCGAUCAGUAGCUGGUCUGAGAGGACGACCAGCCACACUGGAACUGAGACACGGUCCAGACUCCUACGGGAGGCAGCAGUGGGGAAUUUUGGACAAUGGGCGAAAGCCUGAUCCAGCAAUGCCGCGUGAGUGAAGAAGGCCUUCGGGUUGUAAAGCUCUUUUGUCAGGGAAGAAACGGUGGACUCUAAUACAGGCCACUAAUGACGGUACCUGAAGAAUAAGCACCGGCUAACUACGUGCCAGCAGCCGCGGUAAUACGUAGGGUGCAAGCGUUAAUCGGAAUUACUGGGCGUAAAGCGUGCGCAGGCGGUUUUGUAAGUCUGACGUGAAAUCCCCGGGCUCAACCUGGGAAUUGCGUUGGAGACUGCAAGGCUAGAGUUUGGCAGAGGGGGGUAGAAUUCCACGUGUAGCAGUGAAAUGCGUAGAUAUGUGGAGGAACACCGAUGGCGAAGGCAGCCCCCUGGGUCAAGACUGACGCUCAUGCACGAAAGCGUGGGGAGCAAACAGGAUUAGAUACCCUGGUAGUCCACGCCCUAAACGAUGUCUACUAGUUGUCGGGUCUUAAUUGACUUGGUAACGCAGCUAACGCGUGAAGUAGACCGCCUGGGGAGUACGGUCGCAAGAUUAAAACUC
Molecule: ribosomal RNA, 899 nt
Filed under: uncultured bacterium
Lineage: Bacteria
Description: bacterial SSU rRNA
Rfam family: Bacterial small subunit ribosomal RNA
Source: RNAcentral